Long non-coding RNA from Sardina pilchardus (European sardine), 224 nucleotides. RefSeq lists it as uncharacterized. The transcript has 3 exons. Lineage: Eukaryota; Metazoa; Chordata; Actinopteri; Clupeiformes; Clupeidae. The record is from RefSeq and is a predicted model, not a curated record.
GCAAGGGUGCCUCCAUAAGGUGCCAGAAGUCCCAGCCUGAAGCCAGAGGCUGCUAUUGCAAGUCAGAUGGGGGAUGAUCUAUGUUAGGCGUCAGAAAGGUGGUGUACGCAGGAAGGCAAGGCAAAGAUGUGAUUAGACUACCUUCAAUAAGACAGGGCAACAGACACAUGACAAGUGACUGGGAGAGAGAGACUUUAAAAGGACUGGCCUGAAACUGAACUGGG